RNAcentral lists this ribosomal RNA (268 nucleotides) under uncultured bacterium. RNAcentral describes it as "partial 16S ribosomal RNA". It matches the Rfam family "Bacterial small subunit ribosomal RNA", at positions 86 to 354 of the family's 1533-position model. The record is from RNAcentral.
UUGGGGAAAGUGGCGGACGGGUGAGUAACGCGUGGGUAACCUGCCUUACACAGGGGGAUAACACUUAGAAAUAGGUGCUAAAACCGCAUAAGCGCACAGCUUCGCAUGAAGCGGUGUGAAAAACUCCGGUGGUGUAAGAUGGACCCGCGUCUGAUUAGCUGGUUGGCGGGGUAACGGCCCACCAAGGCGACGAUCAGUAGCCGGCCUGAGAGGGUGAACGGCCACAUUGGGACUGAGACACGGCCCAAACUCCUACGGAAGGCAGCAG